This is a long non-coding RNA of Zophobas morio, 192 nucleotides long. RefSeq lists it as uncharacterized. The record is from RefSeq and is a predicted model, not a curated record. The transcript is spliced from 3 exons. Lineage: Eukaryota; Metazoa; Arthropoda; Insecta; Coleoptera; Tenebrionidae.
GUUAUCGACCUACUAAAAGCCAUGUAUACACCCUCGCAGAACACGCGAAAGUUGCAAAAGCCAAGAAGCAUUUGACUUAAUUAGCGUCCUGCUUGCUUCAUUUUCUUCAGAUUUUAAAGCAGCGAUAUGAUUGAACUUCGUGCUUUUGACCUAAGAGUGCAAGACUAAGAAAGCACAAGAGAGGGGAAAAGA